CCUACGGGUGGCAGCAGUAGGGAAUAUUGCUCAAUGGGGGAAACCCUGAAGCAGCAACGCCGCGUGGAGGAUGAAGGUUUUCGGAUUGUAAACUCCUUUUGUUAGAGAAGAUAAUGACGGUAUCUAACGAAUAAGCACCGGCUAACUCCGUGCCAGCAGCCGCGGUAAUACGGAGGGUGCAAGCGUUACUCGGAAUCACUGGGCGUAAAGAGCGCGUAGGCGGGAUAGCAAGUCAGAUGUGAAAGCCUAUGGCUUAACCAGAGAACUGCAGUUGAAACUGGUAUGCUAGAGUAUGGGAGAGGUAGGUGGAAUUCUUGGUGUAGGGGUAAAAUGCGUAGAGAUCAAGAGGAAUACUCAUUGCGAAGGCGACCUGCUAGAACAUAACUGACGCUGAUGCGCGAAAGCGUGGGGAGCAAACAGGAUUAGAUACCCGAGUAGUC
Molecule: ribosomal RNA, 440 nt
Filed under: uncultured bacterium
Lineage: Bacteria
Description: partial 16S ribosomal RNA
Rfam family: Bacterial small subunit ribosomal RNA
Source: RNAcentral